AAAAUUCACCAAAUGAGUCAUCCCACAAUAUUAUGAUGUUCCCCAAGUUUUGGACUCAAUCCUAUAUCGAUUGGUCCACGAAAUUGGACAAUUCAAGGUCGUACGAAGUUCGUUCUGAAACAGAAAGGUUUCUGUUUUGCAUAGUUUUAGAGAUUAGAUUUCACUCAAAACCCACCAAAUGUCUCCUCCCACCAUAUUAUGAUGUUCACCAAGUUUUGG
Molecule: long non-coding RNA, 219 nt
Filed under: Prunus persica (peach)
Lineage: Eukaryota; Viridiplantae; Streptophyta; Magnoliopsida; Rosales; Rosaceae
Description: long non-coding RNA (PPER_LNC002249)
Source: RNAcentral